CAAGAAUCCAGAACUCACUUCGCCCUUGAAACCUGUCCAGCGACGGCUCAAUUAAGCUCUAAAUCCCGACGUUAACCUAACAAAAGACGUGUGGGAAGUAUUCUUCCUCCUGCAGUUACUCCGUCGACUCGACUGGCCCGCGAUGUCUUCCAGAUACACCUUCAACAAGAGCUUGAAGGAGCUGCGGUUUCUCUUCUGCAACUCCUCUCCCCAUAGCGAUGCGACGAGGGCUUUCCUAAAGCGAGCAUACCCAACGAUGAAGAAGAACAACCCAUUCAUACCUAUCAUGAUGCGGGAGGCAUUGGAUACCGAACCAAGAGUGUUUGCGAGAUAUGAAAUGGGAAGGGAGAAACAAGAGCCUCUCAUAGGCUUAACGGAUAAGGAAAUUGAGGAGAAGGUUACAGCUUUGGUGAAGGGCUCAAUAUAGCCCGCCUACUAUAAAUCACCUUUCCCUGGGCGCAUUUUCUGUACAUAUAUAUCUACACACACGACCAAAUAGAAAAAUGGCUUCUUCUACAUUCAAGAAAGACAUUAUGCUUCUAGUAUCCAACAUUCAAAAGGCAUACUAUACUUCUCUCUCUGAGAACACGAAACCAGCUGGGAGUGACUGGGAGUGGACGGGAAAAGGUUGCUCCCCAUCUCCCACUUCACAAACAUAAGCAAUUAGGUGAAGAACCAAAACCAGAAACAAAAUACAUUAUCCCGCAAUUUCAAACUCAUCUCACUCCGCGCCAAUCUCCCCAAACCUAAACUGCGCCCAACUCAUGCUCCCUUCCUUCAAAGUCCACAGCCGCUUCCCCACAUCGUCCCCUGCAGCUCCUGCACCCACAUGGAUAGGCAGCAAAUGGUCAAACGUGGGAUGAGCCUGCCGUGCAUCCCCGCGCUUCAGCAGAUCAGCCAAUGCCUUCUCCCUCUGGGCUGGUGGCGUCGUGACAGCGUCCCUCAGCGCUUCGUCAAAACUGGCAGUGUACGGCAUUGGCGUCGAGUCCCCAAACGUAAACCGGAGGUCCCGCAGGUUGUGGACUGCCAUUCCAGAAACGAUGAUCUGGAUGUUCUCCUCGCGGAGUUUGGCGAUGGCUUGGCCCAGGCGGUAGUGCUGGAUGGGAUCUUCGGUUUUGAAGAGGGAGACUUGGACGAUGGGCACGUUCAGGGGGUUGUGGUCCGGGUCGAAUGCUAAUAGGUGACAAUAAACAGUUCACUCGUCCGCUAAGGUCUUCACAAAGGAAGGCCGCUAGAAGGCGAGAGAAAGGGGUUAAACAUUGAAGACCUACCACACUUAAAACUAGCCCAAACACCAUGAUCAAGCCCUCUCUUCACCCCCUCCGCUUUCAUCCCCGCUCCCCUAAUAGCGUCGAUUACCUUCUGCGCGACCUGCCUACUCCCGACAUUCGGAAACUUCUCCUCAUAAUAAUGGCUAGGGAAUCCGUAAAAGCUAUGUAUAAUUUUCCGCUUUAGCUCAGGACAAGCAGGGAUGCAAUUUCUCCUUACGCAACCACCUCCUUUUUCCCUCGCCAUUAAGAGAGUGAAAUGUUUUGCCCAAUUUUUUUGCCCAAUGAAUCAGGCAUAGAGCAACUCUCAGGCUGCAGGAAAGAGGUCAGCGAAAGGGAAACAGGAGAAUGAAAAACGUACUCAUAUAUCAGCUCCGUGAUCUCAGCAUUGUUCACUUCAACAGUAUCUCGCGACGCUUGCCAAUGGGCGGAGAAAACAACCACGGCACGAGGCUUCACCUUGGUGGUGAUUUCGUGCCCAAUUUCCUGCAGCUUGCGAUAGGCGGGAUGGUUCUGGUCAUACAUAAUAUCUGGCCCUCCAUGACUUAGAAAAUAAACCGGCGUCCUGGCCGAUGGCGCCAUUGCGACCUCAGCGCUCACUCCCGUGCUCGUGCUCGUGCUCGUGCUUGUGCUCACUACGAUCUUCUUCCCCUCUCCUUCAACAGAAUAGCCCCUCGUGCGCAGAAGCGUGAUGUGAAAGGGUGCCGCAGGAUUCAGGAACGUCGUCCGCACAGAUGCUGUCAGAAUGAUGAGAGUCGAGGAUGGCACGGCGAUGUACGAUAUCAAGAUUCCUAGGAGGAGAGGAAGGAGGAAGAGUGCUAGGUUAUUGAUGCUGCGUUGGUGGGGAACAGUGGUGGAGGACAGUGGUGG
Molecule: small RNA, 2138 nt
Filed under: Histoplasma capsulatum
Lineage: Eukaryota; Fungi; Ascomycota; Eurotiomycetes; Onygenales; Ajellomycetaceae
Also listed under: 1 other name
Description: hypothetical RNA
Source: RNAcentral